ACAGCAGGAAGCACAGGGAUCUUAAAACAUAAACUCACAGUGCUCCCCACAUUGAUCUCCCACACAAACCCAUCUCUCCUGUCAGGGACUGUGGGCUUCGUGACUUUCUCCAUGUGCUGGACUGUCGCAUGGUCACUGUUGCCAGGGACUCUUUGAACUAAUCCCAAGCCUAUGUCAGAAAAGCCUGUGAUCGAUUCCCAGUGCCAUCCUGAACCACAAGAUUGGAAUAUCGCACCUUUCAACUGCCUGGGCUGAUAAACAAUACAGCAUGUACUCAGCUUCAUAAACACUCUGCCUUGUUACAAAGGGCAUUGCAAACUCGCCGUGAUAGGACUUGACCUUAAAAGCUAUAGACAAUCUAGCGGAGCACAGACGGUUUCAUAAAGUACAAUCACUUCCUGGAAUUCUUGGGCCAGUGCAGUCGGAGCCGUGCAAAUCCUGUUUUCCUUGCAUUGUUUCCUGCAUGUGAAUAUCAUCAGUCUAGCAGUCUCUCUCUGUCACCAGGCUGGAGUACAGUGGGGCAAUCUCGGCUCACUGCAACCUCUGCCUCCCGGGUUCAAGCGAUUCUCCUGCCUCAGCCUCCCGAGUAGCUGGGACUGUAGGUGCACGCCACCAUGAGCAGUUAUUUUUUGUCUUUUUAGUAGAGACGAGGUUUCACUAUGUUGGCCAGGCUGGUCUUGAUCUCUUGACCUCGUGAUCUGCUGGCCUCAGCCUUCCAAAGUGCUGGGACUAUAGCCGUGAGCCACCAUGCCAGGCCCAUCUAACUUUUAAUAUAGAUUGUAUGAUGUUUUCAUAAAACAAGCAGGGCUCAGAAAGGCCGUAUAAAGCCACAGAGCCAGCAAGCAGCAGAGUCUGCAUUUUAAUCCAUAUGUUCAUGGCUUCAAAGCAAUGUUAUUUAACUCUAACAAUGCAAUUGAACUAACAACUGACAUCAGACACAAAUAUUCUGAAGAACCUGGAGAAAUAGAAAAGAAUUGGAUAGAACUGAUGGCUCAUGGGCAGAAGCUGUGCAUCAGGAAGAGGAAAUAAAUGGCAUUGUUCAGCCAUGAAGCCAUAUAAUUUCAACCUGACUUUCCUUCUCUAUUGUCCUGUCUCAUUGUCUAGCUUGAAAUGUGGCCGCAGUCAUGUCAAGUGGCUAACUUCCUGCAUAUUUGGUUUCCUCAUGGGAGCUUAGUAAUUCCUGAUUGAUUUAGAGCAAGAAAGUAAAAUAAAUUCUAGUUUUUCCAA
Molecule: long non-coding RNA, 1227 nt
Filed under: Homo sapiens (human)
Lineage: Eukaryota; Metazoa; Chordata; Mammalia; Primates; Hominidae
Description: HSALNT0332600
Source: RNAcentral